UGCAUAGCCUUCCUGAAUUUCCCUUUAC
This 28-nucleotide non-coding RNA is filed under the name Mus musculus (house mouse). The record is from RNAcentral. Lineage: Eukaryota; Metazoa; Chordata; Mammalia; Rodentia; Muridae.